CCGAAACCGAAUUAACCGGAACCGAAACCGAAUACACCGAAACCGAAUUAACCGGGACUAAUUUCGGUGCGUAAAUAUGAUAAACCGAUUUUUAUAAUUUAAAUUCGGUUUUGACAUCCGAUUGACCGAAAUAACCGUAUAAACCGAGAUAUAGGUGACACAGACAAAAACCUGAACGACACGAGAGCUCCAGACCUCUCAAUCUCGCAUGUCGUUCGUUUGUAGGAAGCCCAACACGCAAAAGCCCAACAGUUCACAAAGCCUACAAUUGCACGUACUAUGCAGCAGUCCAGCUCCAGCCCCACGCACGUAAAAGCUCACAUCUCCCUCUGAUUCCAUCCCUAAUUAAUCUCCUGAAUAUCCGACGUAAUUCCAUACUCUCCCUAUUCUCAUCUGCAGACUAGAGGUACAGCCGCCAGAUCGCAUCUUGGUACCGUAGUUGGCCGGCGUGCAACGUCAUCUCUGUCGACUCCGGCCGGCCGACGCAGUGAGUCGAAUACAUCGAGAUGUCAAGUGAAGAGAUGGAGAUGGGAAACGGGAGUGAGUCCGACCAUGACAUUCACGUCCAGAACCAGGAGAAUGAGGUUCCUGAGGACAAUGACGAUGGGAAGGAGAUUGUGCUGGUCGAUGAUGAGGCAACGGAGGGGUUACAGAAGGAAGAGGAAGCGGCUGCUGCUAACAAGGAUAAGGAGGAUGGUGAUGCUCAGACAGGAAGAAAAGAGAUGGCAGC
Molecule: non-coding RNA, 730 nt
Organism: Lolium perenne
Lineage: Eukaryota; Viridiplantae; Streptophyta; Magnoliopsida; Poales; Poaceae
Source: RefSeq, a predicted model, not a curated record